CAGAACCCAUCUUGAAUUCUCUCGUUUCUGAUAAUACUCGCAAUUUCGAGCCUAUUCUCUGUCUUUUCUUUCUAUUGCUUUCCGAUUGCAAUGGAUUACAAAUUUGAUUCACCGCAAGACUGAAACGAUUUUAGGAGUAGAUAUCGGAGGAGGAGGGGAAAGGAAGGCGGUGGAGGAUGAAGCUAAGAUUGAAGUUGGAAGUAAGAAAAACACUGAAUUUGGACGCGAUU
This 230-nucleotide unclassified non-coding RNA is filed under the name Hevea brasiliensis (rubber tree). The record is from RNAcentral. Lineage: Eukaryota; Viridiplantae; Streptophyta; Magnoliopsida; Malpighiales; Euphorbiaceae.